This 465-nucleotide ribosomal RNA is filed under the name uncultured bacterium. RNAcentral's name for it is "partial 16S ribosomal RNA". It matches the Rfam family "Bacterial small subunit ribosomal RNA", at positions 28 to 507 of the family's 1533-position model. The record is from RNAcentral.
GACGAACGCUGGCGGCGUGCUUAACACAUGCAAGUCGAACGGAAAGGCCCCCUUGUGGGGUACUCGAGUGGCGAACGGGUGAGUAACACGUGAGUAACCUACCCUUGACUUUGGGAUAACUUCAGGAAACUGGGGCUAAUACCGGAUAGGAGCUCCUGCUGCAUGGUGGGGGUUGGAAAGUUUCGGCGGUUGGGGAUGGACUCGCGGCUUAUCAGCUUGUUGGUGGGGUAGUGGCUCACCAAGGCUGUGACGGGUAGCCGGCCUGAGAGGGUGACCGGCCACAUUGGGACUGAGAUACGGCCCAGACUCCUACGGGAGGCAGCAGUGGGGAAUAUUGCACAAUGGGCGGAAGCCUGAUGCAGCAACGCCGCGUGCGGGAUGACGGCCUUCGGGUUGUAAACCGCUUUCGCCUGUGACGAAGCGUGAGUGACGGUAAUGGGUAAAGAAGCACCGGCUAACUACGUG